GUGUCAGCCGCCGCGGUAAUACGUAGGGAGCAAACGUUGUUCGGAAUUACUGGGCAUAAAGAGCUCGUAGGAUGCUUGGAAAGUCAGAUGUGAAAUCCCUUGGCUUAACUGAGGAACUGCAUCUGAAACUACCUUGCUUGAGUGUAAGAGAGGAGAGCGGAACUCUUGGUGGAGCGGUGAAAUGCGUUGAUAUCAAGGGGAACGCCGGUGGCGAAAGCGACUCUCUGGCUUACAACUGACUCUGAGGAGCGAAAGCUAGGGGAGCAAACGGGAUUAGAUACCCCGGUAGUCCUAGCCGUAAACGAUGGAUACUAAACAGGGGUGAUUCCGAUGUCGUCUCUGUUGUAGCAAAUGUGAUAAGUAUCCCGCCUGGGGAGUACGGCCGCAAGGCUAAAACUCAAAGGAAUUGACGGGG
RNAcentral lists this ribosomal RNA (415 nucleotides) under uncultured prokaryote. Its description in RNAcentral is "bacterial SSU rRNA". It matches the Rfam family "Bacterial small subunit ribosomal RNA", at positions 505 to 918 of the family's 1533-position model. The record is from RNAcentral.